UUAUAUAUUGACGAAAAAGAGAAUAUCGUCAAGAUCUCAAAAGAUCUAACUACUAAAGUGUUAUCUUUGAAAAAUCCACCAGAAUGGAAAACAGAGUGUCUCUUUUCAUCAUUAGCCACUAACGAAUUACUUGUUGGUACAACACUCAACAACCGUGUAGGGAGAAUAACAAUAUAUAACUCACUUGGAAAUGAAGUAUUUACCAUUCAACAAAAUGACAAAGGCGGAAACUUAUACUCUCAUCCAGUGUACGUUACAGAAAAUCAAAAUGGGGACAUAAUAGUGUCCGAUCGAGUAAAAAAUAAAGUAGUUGUGACGGACUUUAAGGGAAAUUAUCGGUUUUCUUUUUCAAAAAAAUCCUGUGGUAAGGGAUCUGAGAUAUUCCAUACCGUUUGCACAGACGCACUUUCAAACAAUUUUUACAUCCUGGUUUGCAGGAAUAAUUCUGUAGUAAUACGAGACGAAAAUGGUAAAUUGUUGAAAGUGACCGUACCAGAAAAUACAAACAUCUACGGAAGGAAACUCAAUAGCUUAUGCUAUGACAGUGUUAAUGAUCGACUAUUGGUGGGAGGCAUUUCAUCAGACCGAAAAACGGAAAUGAUCUCCGGACUCCGUCAUUUGGACCGGCCAAGAUUUAUGAAAGGUAUAAAAAAGACGAAAUACAGAAAGAGAAAGAAGGAGAAGAAAAUGGCGAAUAUUUCUUCUGAAUCAGACAACAGCUAUGAUAAUUAACCUGUAAAAGACGAUGAUUUUAAAUUUUAUUGUUAUGGCGGUAACAAUUACGUUGACAGGAAAGAUGCUGAAGACGAUUUUGACCCUUACCCUGAACCCUAUCCUGAUGAAGAUGUUCAUUCUUUGAGUAAUUGGUCAAAUUGGGGAACACGACGUCGAAAACGAGUGAUGGAAUGAU
Molecule: long non-coding RNA, 910 nt
Organism: Saccostrea cuccullata (small rock oyster)
Lineage: Eukaryota; Metazoa; Mollusca; Bivalvia; Ostreida; Ostreidae
Exons: 3
Source: RefSeq, a predicted model, not a curated record